GCCAUUGAGCCCUGAUGGCGGAAUUGGUAGACGCGGCGGAUUCAAAAUCCGUUUUCGAAAGAAGUGGGAGUUCGAUUCUCCCUCGGGGCACCACC
RNAcentral lists this transfer RNA (95 nucleotides) under Pseudomonas amygdali pv. tabaci. Its description in RNAcentral is "partial tRNA-Leu". The stretch from base 9 to 90 matches the Rfam family "tRNA". Rfam says of the family: Transfer RNA (tRNA) molecules are approximately 80 nucleotides in length. The record is from RNAcentral. Lineage: Bacteria; Pseudomonadati; Pseudomonadota; Gammaproteobacteria; Pseudomonadales; Pseudomonadaceae.